ACCGACGAGGGCGACUACCAGAUCAAGCUGCGCAAGAUGCGCGAAUUCCUGGAAGAAGGCGACAAGGUCAAGGUCACGAUCCGCUUCCGCGGUCGUGAAAUGUCCCAUCAGGACCUCGGCCAGAAUCUGGCCCGCCGGGUCCAGACGGACAUCGGCGAAGACGGUGUGGUGGAGUCCUUCCCCCGCCUCGAAGGCCGCCAGAUGGUCAUGAUGAUCGGACCGAAGAAAAAGAUCUGAUCGAACGAGAAGGGCGCUCCGGCGCCCUUUUUCGUUUGAAUUCAUGUAUGAUCGCCGGCUCGGCCCGUAUGGAUGGGCCGA
Molecule: unclassified non-coding RNA, 318 nt
Filed under: Luteibacter sp. 22Crub2.1
Lineage: Bacteria; Pseudomonadati; Pseudomonadota; Gammaproteobacteria; Lysobacterales; Rhodanobacteraceae
Description: Long range pseudoknot
Source: RNAcentral